AUACGUAGGUGGCAACCGUUGUCCGGAUUUACUGGGUGUAAAGGGCGUGUAGGCGGAGAUGCAAGUCAGGAGUGAAAUCUAGGGGCUCAACCCCUAAACUGCUUUUGAAACUGUAUCCCUUGAGUAUCGGAGAGGCAGGCGGAAUUCCUAGUGUAGCGGUGAAAUGCGUAGAUAUUAGGAGGAACACCAGUGGCGAAGGCGGCCUGCUGGACGACAACUGACGCUGAGGCGCGAAAGCGUGGGGAGCAAACAGGAUUAGAUACCCUGGUAGUCCACGCUGUAAACGAUGAAUACUAGGUGUGGGGGGACUGACCCCCUCCGUGCCGCAGUUAACACAAUAAGUAUUCCACCUGGGGAGUACGAUCGCAAGAUUGAAACUCAAAUGAAUUGACGGGG
RNAcentral lists this ribosomal RNA (396 nucleotides) under uncultured bacterium. Its description in RNAcentral is "partial 16S ribosomal RNA". It matches the Rfam family "Bacterial small subunit ribosomal RNA", at positions 523 to 918 of the family's 1533-position model. The record is from RNAcentral.